This 341-nucleotide unclassified non-coding RNA is filed under the name uncultured Inocybe. RNAcentral describes it as "sequence contains ITS1". The stretch from base 1 to 105 matches the Rfam family "5.8S ribosomal RNA", at positions 50 to 154 of the family's 154-position model. Lineage: Eukaryota; Fungi; Basidiomycota; Agaricomycetes; Agaricales; Cortinariaceae. The record is from RNAcentral.
GAAAUGCGAUAAGUAAUGUGAAUUGCAGAAUUCAGUGAAUCAUCGAAUCUUUGAACGCAUCUUGCGCUCCUUGGUAUUCCGAGGAGCAUGCCUGUUUGAGUGUCAUUUAAGUUCCUCAAAACCACAUUGAUUGUUUUUGGUGUGGCUUUGGAUGUGGGGGAAAUGUGUUUGCAGGUCUCUGAAAAUGAAGUCUGCUUCCCUGAAAUGCAUUAGUAGUAUCCAAGCAGACUACCGGGUGUGAUAAUUUAUCUAUGCCCUUGAUAGGCUGCAUGACUGCUUCCAAUCAACUUUAUUUCUUUUUUAAAGACCUCAAAUCAGGUAGGACUACCCGCUGAACUUAA